This 645-nucleotide ribosomal RNA is filed under the name uncultured bacterium. RNAcentral describes it as "bacterial SSU rRNA". It matches the Rfam family "Bacterial small subunit ribosomal RNA", at positions 232 to 885 of the family's 1533-position model. The record is from RNAcentral.
CGCGGCCUAUCAGCUUGUUGGUGGGGUAAUGGCCUACCAAGGCGGCGACGGGUGGCCGGCCUGAGAGGGUGUACGGCCACAUUGGGACUGAGAUACGGCCCAGACUCCUACGGGAGGCAGCAGUGGGGAAUAUUGCACAAUGGGCGCAAGCCUGAUGCAGCGACGCCGUGUGGGGGAUGAAGGCCUUCGGGUUGUAAACUCCUUUCGCUAGGGACGAAGCUUUUUGUGACGGUACCUAGAUAAGAAGCACCGGCUAACUACGUGCCAGCAGCCGCGGUAAUACGUAGGGUGCGAGCGUUGUCCGGAAUUACUGGGCGUAAAGGGCUCGUAGGUGGUUUGUCGCGUCGUCUGUGAAAUUCUGGGGCUUAACUCCGGGCGUGCAGGCGAUACGGGCAUAACUUGAGUGCUGUAGGGGUAACUGGAAUUCCUGGUGUAGCGGUGAAAUGCGCAGAUAUCAGGAGGAACACCGAUGGCGAAGGCAGGUUACUGGGCAGUUACUGACGCUGAGGAGCGAAAGCAUGGGUAGCGAACAGGAUUAGAUACCCUGGUAGUCCAUGCCGUAAACGGUGGGCGCUAGGUGUGAGGGUCUUUCUACGACUUUCGUGCCGUAGCUAACGCAUUAAGCGCCCCGCCUGGGGAGUACGG